RNAcentral lists this ribosomal RNA (513 nucleotides) under uncultured bacterium. Its description in RNAcentral is "partial 16S ribosomal RNA". It matches the Rfam family "Bacterial small subunit ribosomal RNA", at positions 28 to 507 of the family's 1533-position model. The record is from RNAcentral.
GACGAACGCUGGCGGCGUGCUUAACACAUGCAAGUCGAACGAAAAGAGGGAAAGAGCUUGCUCUUUCCGGAAUUGAGUGGCAAACGGGUGAGUAACACGUAAACAACCUGCCUUCAGGAUGGGGACAACAGACGGAAACGACUGCUAAUACCGAAUAAGUUCCAAGGGCCGCAUGGCCCAUGGAAGAAAAGGUGGCCUCUACCUGUAAGCUACCGCCUGAAGAGGGGUUUGCGUCUGAUUAGCUGGUUGGAGGGGUAACGGCCCACCAAGGCGACGAUCAGUAGCCGGUCUGAGAGGAUGAACGGCCACACUGGAAUUGAGACACGGUCCAGACUCCUACGGGAGGCAGCAGUGGGGAAUCUUCCGCAAUGGGCGAAAGCCUGACGGAGCAACGCCGCGUGAGUGAUGACGGCCUUCGGGUUGUAAAACUCUGUGAUCCGGGACGAAAAGGCAGAGUGCGAAGAACAAACUGCAUUGACGGUACCGGAAAAGCAAGCCACGGCUAACUACGUG